AAGUCGUAACAAGGUCUCCGUAGGUGAACCUGCGGAGGGAUCAUUACACAAUAACAAGGCGGGCUGGACACCCCCCGCUGGGCACUGCUUCACGGCGUGCGCGGCGGGGCCGGCCCUGCUGAAUUAUUCACCCGUGUCUUUUGCGUACUUCUUGUUUCCUGGGUGGGCUUGCCCGCCCUCAGGACCAACCACAAACCUUUUGCAAUAGCAAUCAGCGUCAGUAACAACGUAAUUAAUUACAACUUUCAACAACGGAUCUCUUGGUUCUG
Molecule: unclassified non-coding RNA, 269 nt
Filed under: Alternaria infectoria
Lineage: Eukaryota; Fungi; Ascomycota; Dothideomycetes; Pleosporales; Pleosporaceae
Description: partial internal transcribed spacer region
Rfam family: Eukaryotic small subunit ribosomal RNA (bases 1-46)
Source: RNAcentral